CGAUCUAUUGCUAAAUUGGUAAAGGUAUCGCCGAUGACAGGUGAGGGUGUGGGUUUGAAUCCCGCUAGAACGG
RNAcentral lists this transfer RNA (73 nucleotides) under Operophtera brumata (winter moth). It matches the Rfam family "tRNA". From Rfam's summary of the family: Transfer RNA (tRNA) molecules are approximately 80 nucleotides in length. Lineage: Eukaryota; Metazoa; Arthropoda; Insecta; Lepidoptera; Geometridae. The record is from Rfam by way of RNAcentral.